Molecule: ribosomal RNA, 332 nt
Filed under: uncultured bacterium
Lineage: Bacteria
Description: bacterial SSU rRNA
Rfam family: Bacterial small subunit ribosomal RNA
Source: RNAcentral
GGUGUAGGCGGCAUGUCAAGUUGGAUGUGAAAUCUCCCGGCUAAACUGGGAGGGUGCGUUCAAAACUGAUGUGCUGGAGUGCAGCAGAGGAAAGCGGAAUUCCCGGUGUAGUGGCGAAAUGCGUAGAUAUCGGGAAGAACACCAGUGGCGAAGGCGGCUUUCCAGGCUGUAACUGACGCUGAGGCCCGAAGGCGUGGGGAGCAAACAGGAUCAGAUACCCUGGUAGUCCACGCAGUAAACGAUGGGUACUAGGUAUAGGGAGUAUCGACCCUCUCUGUGCCGAAGCUAACGCUUUAAGUACCCCGCCUGGGGAGUACGGUCGCAAGACUAAA